UACAGAGGGUGCAAGCGUUAUUCGGAAUUACUGGGCGUAAAGCGUGCGUAGACGGUCAUGUAAGUCGGGUGUGAAAGCCCCGGGCUCAACCUGGGAAUUGCAUUCGAGACUGCGUGGCUAGGAUGCGGAAGAGGGAAGCGGAAUUUCCGGUGUAGCGGUGAAAUGCGUAGAUAUCGGAAGGAACACCAGUGGCGAAAGCGGCUUCCUGGUCCAGCAUCGACGUUCAGGCACGAAAGCGUGGGGAGCAAACAGG
RNAcentral lists this ribosomal RNA (253 nucleotides) under uncultured bacterium. Its description in RNAcentral is "partial 16S ribosomal RNA". It matches the Rfam family "Bacterial small subunit ribosomal RNA", at positions 524 to 776 of the family's 1533-position model. The record is from RNAcentral.